Molecule: ribosomal RNA, 253 nt
Filed under: uncultured bacterium
Lineage: Bacteria
Description: partial 16S ribosomal RNA
Rfam family: Bacterial small subunit ribosomal RNA
Source: RNAcentral
UACGGAGGGUGCUAGCGUUGUUCGGAAUCACUGGGCGUAAAGGGCGUGUAGGCGGUCUGUUAAGUCUGAUGUGAAAUCCCCUCGCUCAACGAGGGAACUGCGUCGGAUACUGGCAGACUUGAGUACCGGAGAGGAAGGUGGAAUUCCCGGUGUAGCGGUGAAAUGCGUAGAUAUCAGGAAGAACACCAAUGGCGUAAGCAGCUUUCUGGGACGGUACUGACGCUGAGACGCGAAAGCGUGGGGAGCGAACAGG